CAAGUCGAGGGGCAGCACGGUGUAGCAAUACACUGGUGGCGACCGGCGCACGGGUGCGUAACGCGUAUGCAACCUACCCAUAACAGGGGGAUAAUCCGAAGAAAUUUGGUCUAAUACCCCAUAAUAUUUCAGAAGGCAUCUUUUAUGGUUGAAAAUUCCGAUGGUUAGAGAUGGGCAUGCGUUGUAUUAGCUAGUUGGUGGGGUAACGGCUCACCAAGGCGACGAUACAUAGGGGGACUGAGAGGUUAACCCCCACACUGGUACUGAGACACGGACCAGACUCC
Molecule: ribosomal RNA, 284 nt
Filed under: uncultured Alistipes sp.
Lineage: Bacteria; Pseudomonadati; Bacteroidota; Bacteroidia; Bacteroidales; Rikenellaceae
Description: partial 16S ribosomal RNA
Rfam family: Bacterial small subunit ribosomal RNA
Source: RNAcentral